AGGAGGAGAGGAUCCUAAGGCCGGCGGGAGAAGUGUUGUUAAGGAACUCGGCAAAAUGACUCCGUAACUUCGGGAGAAGGAGUGCUGCGCAAGCAGCCGCAGAGAAAUGGCCCAAGCAACUGUUUAGCAAAAACACAGGUCUAUGCGAAACCGAAAGGUGAGGUAUAUGGGCUGACGCCUGCCCGGUGCUGGAAGGUUAAGGGGAGAGCUUAGCGCGAGCGAAGGUUUGAACUUAAGCCCCAGUAAACGGCGGCCGUAACAAUAACGGUCCUAAGGUAGCGAAAUUCCUUGUCGGGUAAGUUCCGACCCGCACGAAAGGCGUAAUGAUUUGGGCACUGUCUCAACAACACACCCGGUGAAAUUGAAAUACCAGUGAAGAUGCUGGUUACCCGCGCCAGGACGGAAAGACCCCAUGGAGCUUUACUCCAGCCUGAUACUGGGAUUCGGUAUUGCAUGUACAGGAUAGGUGGGAGGCUGAGAACUCAUGGCGCCAGCCGUGAGGGAGCCGAUGUUGGGAUACCACCCCUGCAGUACUGGGUUUCUAACCUGCGCCCGUGACCCGGGCGGGGGACAAUGUCAGGCGGGGAGUUUGACUGGGGCGGUCGCCUCCGAAAGGGUAUCGGAGGCGCUCAAAGGUCUCCUCAGGAUGGUUGGAAACCAUCCAGAGAGUGCAAAGGCAGAAGGAGGCUUGACUGCGACACCGACGGGUGGAGCAGGUACGAAAGUAGGACUUAGUGAUCCGGUGGCAUAAAGUGGGAUUGCCAUCGCUCAACGGAUAAAAGCUACCCUGGGAUAACAGGCUUAUCACUCCCAAGAGUUCACAUCGACGGAGUGGUUUGGCACCUUGAUGUCGGCUCAUCGCAUCCUGGAGCUGGAGCAGGUUCCAAGGGUUGGGCUGUUCGCCCAUUAAAGCGGUACGCGAGCUGGGUUCAGAACGUCGUGAGACAGUUCGGUCCCUAUCCGGCGCGGGCGCAGGAUAUCUGAGAGGAGCUGUCCUUAGUACGAGAGGACCGGGAUGGACCGUCCGCUGGUGGACCGGUUGUCAUGCCAAUGGCACGGCCGGGUAGCCAAGACGGGAAGGGAUAAACGCUGAAGGCAUCUAAGCGUGAAGCCCCCCUCAAGAUGAGAUAUCCAUACUCGAAAGAGUGAGAGACCCCUUAGAGACGAUGAGGUAGAUAGGGCAGGGAUGGAAGUGCAGCGAUGCAUGGAGUUGACUGUUACUAAUCGGUCGAAAGC
RNAcentral lists this ribosomal RNA (1236 nucleotides) under metagenome. RNAcentral's name for it is "bacterial LSU rRNA". It matches the Rfam family "Bacterial large subunit ribosomal RNA", at positions 1667 to 2915 of the family's 2925-position model. The record is from RNAcentral.